Sapajus apella (tufted capuchin) is the source of this 3603-nucleotide long non-coding RNA. RefSeq lists it as uncharacterized. The transcript has 2 exons. The record is from RefSeq and is a predicted model, not a curated record. Lineage: Eukaryota; Metazoa; Chordata; Mammalia; Primates; Cebidae.
CCUACGAGAGGAGGCCAGAAAGGUGCUGUGGGGCCCAGGAGCUGUGACACUGGGCAUCAGACUCAAGGGCAUCUUGGUGGAGCCUCCCCUGUACAUGGCAUCCGAGGGCCCACAGACUCCUGAAACUAUCUCAGGGGCAUUGGAAAGAGGAUGCCUCAUGCCCACUGUCUGCCUCCUGCUCCACACCCUUCCUGAGCCUCAGUGGGAGGCUCUGGGGGAUCUGAAAACAGGAGAGCUAGGAAGACGAGCAGCCACAGAAGAGGCAAAUGGGGGCCAUUAUCACCUGACGCCUUCACCCAACCAGCCCAACUGCCCAGCUACCAAUUCUGGCUCCGAUGGGCCCCUGGGUUUGGUUGGUGGCCACUGUAGUCACCCUCCCCUGUGGCAGGAGACUGGAUUCGGGGGCCUCUGAUCUUUCCUGUGAGCCCCAUGGAUCUCCUGUCCUGGGAUUUGUUCAAAUCCCUCUAGAGCCUCCUUAGACCCUUAGCCUGUAGGCCACCUUGGAGACCUUGUGGGAACCUUACCCAUCCUGCAUGACUGUGACUGUGUCCAGCCAGCUGAAAGUAUUCGGCACGGCCCUGUUCCAUAGGGUGAUCUUCUCCGUCGUCACCUCCACCUGGAUGUCCAUCUGAGCAUUGGCAAUGCCCAGUUUUCCAAAGUAAGUCUUUCUGGUCUUGGAGUCAGGGCUGCCUCUCUUGUCACCAACAAUCUGUCCAUUAACUGUGAGGCCUGCCAGAGGGAUGGGGCAGGGAGAGAGACCAGCGAGAACUUCUGAAUCCAGAUUGCCUUUAGGGGUGUGCCUUCCCCUUCAACUAGGCUGAGUGAGGGGCAGCAGAGUGGGGGCAACGAGAGAGACCAGGACUUCAGAGCCCAAGCCUGUUCCUUCCUAGACAUGCUAGGUUUGGAUCACGCUGGGACACUGUGGCUCUGCCUCUUGCCUGAGCCAGGGAGUGUUCUUCAGGGAAAAACUCUCCCCAGACAUAGGCUGGGCCCUACCCCAGACCCAGGCAGCUCAUUCACUCUAAUCACCUCCCAAGAGCACUGGCGUGUGGGGGCUCAGCGAGCCUGUGGACCUGGGCACUCGCCUCCCCCAGGGGUUUCUCUGCAUGUGAAGAUGAUUCCUUACUGGGCAGAGUGAGAACCUGAUCCAUGUGCCCACUUGGGGGUCCCAAGCCCUCCCAGAAAGAGCCCCUUGGCCCCGGCCCCAGCCCACAAGCCUCACCUGUGACAGGGUCCUGAAUAAGGCGCAGCACUGUGCCUGGGUCUUCGUCGAUGUUGAAGCAGAGGGUGUCGUCUUUCUCCGGAACUUGGAUGAUGAAGUGGGGGUCCCCAUCCACUGGUGACACAUUAGAGAAGGGGCUGGCUCCCGGGGCCUCUCACCAUACCUGGAGCCUCCCCCAGCCUCCUGGCCUCUGUGGGCUGGACUCCAAGAGAGGCAGGAGCACAUGCCCAGGGUCCUGAGCCUUUCCUGGGAGCAGCUGGGGACUCACCAUAGUAGUAGGGGUUUUGAGGAGGCUGGUAGCUGGCUGUGGAGGCAAAGGGAGGAGGAGCUGAGCUAAGCAAGCUCAGGGAGGUGCCCAGCCCGCACCGGAGUUCAGCUCGUGCCCCUUGCCUUCCCUCUCCCUAAUGCCAUUGCCCUCCCACCCCUCAGUCUCCUCAGGACACAUUGUCCAUAUUGUCCAUCUGCCUGUCCUGGAGAGCUGAGUGAGUAGCCACCUCGGAGGGGCACAUGGCAGGGGCAGGCUCUGGGCAGAGGACGGAGGAGCAGCGGCCAGCAUGUACUCACUCAGGUAGGUCAUGGCGGGGCUCACCGGUGUGGCUUAAAAGAAGCCAAAGGGCAGCCAUGAGCAGGAUCUAGGGGUUCCCUCUCCCCCAGCCCCGUGCCUUCUGCCUGUCUUAGUGCUGCUGCACCCCAGAGGGACCCCAACACUGGCAGAUAGAGGUGGAGAUGUGACCCCAAAGCUUAGGCUUUAGAAAUGGGGCACAUCCAGGGAAGUCCUUUAUGGGACUAGUGGCAAGGGGAGUGUGGUUCCCAUGCUGGGGCAGGGCAUUUUAAUGUGGCUGAAAUACAAGCCGUUAAGUCAUCAGCUUCUCUCUCUUGAGUAAUGCUCACAGCAUACACCUGCCCCACCCCUGAGCUCCCUACCCCCUAGUUGGGAUGAGUAAGACUCACCGCUGUCUGUUACUUCCCACACUUGCACACACACACACGUGUACGCACACACACUGGUACAUGUCCAAACAUGCCCCCCUUAUAGAUGGAAGUGGGACAGGCCAGGCCAGUAGGGGUUGGGGGGCCCUGCCUAGAGACAGGGAGUCUGUGAGGUUCCAAUUUUGUGUGAGAGAGGCGCAGAGGACUGUGAUCCCCAGCAAUCCCCAGCAUAGGCAUUGGGGCCAGACUGCCUUGGCCUAAGUGCCAGCUUGGCUGUCUGCUGAGUCUGUGAGCAAAUAGACUGAGCAAAUUAACCCCCUGUGCCUCAAUUUCCCCGAUCACAAAAGGACCCUCUUGGAGGAUUGCUAUGGGAUCAAUGGAGUAUAAGUGGCUGACAUGCUAACUGGCUCAUUUUUGCAGGUCACAAAUACUGUUAUACUGAUUGUCUCUCCUUGGGCAGGGGAAGCCACCCCCAAUUAACUUACAGGGAUCCUCAGGCUCAGAGAGGGGCAGAGUCAUGAUUUGGAAAUAGGGCUGGGCCUCAGUCUAGGUGUCCCAACUGUGCCCCUGUGGCUGGGGGUCCUAUCUUGCUUGGAAAGGCCUCCUCAAUUCUCUCUUGUCUCCUUUCCAUAAUCCCCACCUGGUAGCUGGCUAAAGCUUACCUUCUGCAUAUGCAGGUGCAGCGAGGAAGGAAGAGGAGAAAUGCAUUAGAAGCCAAAGAGCACUGGUGAGCAGGGACGAGCUGGCUGCUUGGCCAAGCAGCCCCAGGUCUUGGGCCUCCCAGCAGCCAGCUGUUCCCCCAUUGGGUGUCCCCUGGAACUAGGAGUUCCUGGAAGCCAGAGGCCUGGGCUGGCUGGGCCCAGCAAUUUGCCUCCCGUGUCUCCCAAUGCCAUCCCUCCCCCACCACACACAGACCCUGUGCCCAGUGGCAGUGGGCAUUUGGGACCUCCUAUUGAGUAGGGCAGUCUGGGGUCUGGUUGAGGGGUCCCAGCCUCCAGCUCUCAGGGACUCUUCCCCUAACAAUCUCCAGGCGCCUAGUAGUGUGCUCCAGGCCUGACUUUCAUGUUGGAAGUGCUUCUUCUUGUCUAACUAAGCCCCUCCAUGCUGUAGCCUCAGCCCUUUUCCUUGAAAUGUCCCUGGGCAGUGUGCCCCCUUUACUCACAUCCCUUUAGAGGUACAGAGGCUCCUAUUCACCCCCCACCCCACUGUCCAUGCUGACUGUUUCAUGCUCCACCCCGCUUUCCCCAGUCCCCCUUCGGCAGAUCUGGGUCUCUCCAGCCCAGCCCACUCCUCCACUGGACACCCAGGGAGGGUGCCCAGCGCAGGGUCCUAGAGGGAGGCCUCCAGGUUGCAGCCUCCAUCCCUAUCCCCACCUUCCCCAGGCUUGUCAGCGAUGGCCGGCUCAUCCUCAUUGUCCUCAGGCUUGGUCACCACCAUGGAGGUCAGUGGAG